This 1679-nucleotide ribosomal RNA is filed under the name Brassica juncea var. tumida. RNAcentral's name for it is "bacterial SSU rRNA". It matches the Rfam family "Bacterial small subunit ribosomal RNA". The record is from RNAcentral. Lineage: Eukaryota; Viridiplantae; Streptophyta; Magnoliopsida; Brassicales; Brassicaceae.
CUGCAGUUGGAGGCUCCUAGCUCAAGGUAACUUGUCUCACCCAAGAGGUGGGAAGACUUGUGAACAAAGUGGUGAACAGGUGCGUAAGGCGUGGGAAUCUGCCGAACAGUUCGGGCUAAAUCCCAAAGAAAGCUAGAAAGCGCUGUUUGAUGAGCCUGCGUAGUAUUAGGUAGUUGGUUAGGUAAAGGCUGAUCAAGCCGAUGAUGCUUAUCUGGUCUUUUCGGACGACCAGCCACACCGGGACUGAGACACGGCCCGGACUCCCAUGAGGGCAGCAGUGGGGAAUUUUGGACAAUGGGCUCAAGCCUGAUCCAGCAAUUUUGCAUGAGUGAAGAAGGGCAAUUUCACUCGUAAAUCUCUUUCGUCGAGUGCGCGAUCAUGACAUGACUCGAGGAAGAAGCCCCGGAUAACUCCCUGCCAGCAGCCGCGGUAAAAUGGGGGGGGCAAGUGUUCUUCGGAAUGACUAGGCGUAAAGGACACGUAGACGGUUCAUCGGGUUGAAAGUGAAAGUCGUCAAAAAGUGGCGGAAUGCUUUCGAAACCACUGAACUUGAGUGAGACAGAGGAGAGUGGAAUUUCGUGUGGAGGGGUGAAAUCUACGGAUCUACGAAGGAAUGCCAAAAGUGAAGGCAGCUCUCUGGGUCUCUACCGACGCUGGUGUGCGAAAGCUUGGGGAGCGAACGGGAUUAGAUACCCUGGUAGUCCGUGCCGUAAACGAUGAGUGUUCGCCCUUGGUCUAUUCUGAUCUGGGGCUCAGCUAACGCGUUAACACUCCGCCUGGAGAGUACGGUUGCAAGACCAAAACUCAAAGGAAUUGACGGGGGCCUGCACAAGCGGUGGAGCAUGUGGUUUAAUUCGAUACAAUGCUCAGAACCUUACCAGCCCUUGACAUAUGAACGAGAAAUCCUAUCCUUAACGGGAUGGUACUGACUUUCAUACAGGUGCUGCAUGGCUGUCGUCAGCUCGUGUCGUGAGAUGUUUGGUUAAGUUCUAUAACGAGCGAAACCCUCGCCUUGUGUUGCUCAGACAUGCGCCUAAGGAGAAAGGUUGUGCAAACCGAAGUAAGCCAAGUAGCCGAGUGAUGUGCCAGACCUAGGAAUUGAGUGACAACAACUAGCUCUGCUCUCAGUAACAAGGGGUUCCUCCUUUAGGGGAGAAGCUGGGUUCCUCCGGCGCCUUUCCAAGCCCUAACUAGUCGGCGGAGAAAGACUCGGCAUUCAGGUGAGCCGAACGGUGGUGUAGGACGAAGGAAGUGGGUUUAGUACGCCUUGACAAAACCGCGACGAAACAAACAAAAAGGUGCGUGAUGCACUCACGAGGGACUGCCAGUGAUAUACUGGAGUAAGGUGGGGAUUACGUCUAGUCCGCAUGGCCCUUAUGGGCUGGGCCACACACGUGCUACAAUGGCAAUUACAAUGGGAAGCAAGGCUGUAAGGCGGAGCGAAUCCGGAAAGAUUUCCUCAGUUCGGAUUGUUCUCUGCAACUCGGGAACAUGAAGUUGUAAUCGCUAGUAAUCGCGGAUCAGCAUGCCGCGGUGAAUAUGUACCCGGGCCCUGUACACACCACCCAUCACACCCUGGGAAUUGGUUUCCCCCGAAGCAUCGGAACAAUGAUCACCCAGCGAACGAAGAGAAGGAAUACUUAUUAGUAAUGACAUGAAUGACAGCAAGCAAACAACCG